RNAcentral lists this ribosomal RNA (498 nucleotides) under uncultured bacterium. Its description in RNAcentral is "partial 16S ribosomal RNA". It matches the Rfam family "Bacterial small subunit ribosomal RNA", at positions 28 to 507 of the family's 1533-position model. The record is from RNAcentral.
GACGAACGCUGGCGGCGUGCCUAAUACAUGCAAGUCGAGCGGACGAAUCGAAAGCUUGCUUUUGAUUCGUUAGCGGCGGACGGGUGAGUAACACGUGGGCAACCUGCCCUGUAGACGGGGAUAACACCGAGAAAUCGGUGCUAAUACCGGAUAACACGAAAUGUCGCAUGACGUUUCGUUGAAAGACGGCGCAAGCUGUCGCUACAGGAUGGGCCCGCGGCGCAUUAGCUAGUUGGUGAGGUAACGGCUCACCAAGGCGACGAUGCGUAGCCGACCUGAGAGGGUGAUCGGCCACACUGGGACUGAGACACGGCCCAGACUCCUACGGGAGGCAGCAGUAGGGAAUCUUCCGCAAUGGGCGAAAGUCUGACGGAGCAACGCCGCGUGAGCGAAGAAGGCCUUCGGGUCGUAAAGCUCUGUUGUUAGGGAAGAACAAGUAACGCAGUAACUGGCGUUACCGUGACGGUACCUAACGAGAAAGCCACGGCUAACUACGUG